AGAAAACAUUCUGCUAGCCUUGCACCUUGUAUGGUAUUUAAAGAAGAAAUAGAUGAACCUUUGAAAGAUCAGGGGAUUAAGGAACCAGUGCAGAAGAGGAGAUGAGGCCUGGACCAGAGCAGCCAUGAUCAUGAUGAAUGGCAGGGCAGGACUGAGAGGUACACAACCUAAUUAACCUACCUUGGGAUGUGGAAGGAAACCAAAGCACCUGGAGGAAAUCUAUGAGGUCGCAAGGAGAAUGUGCAAACUCCAUGCGGGCAGCACCCAAGAUCAGGAUCAAACCUGGGACACAAGAGCUGUGUGACAGCACCACUACCUGCUGCGUCACAAUGUUGCAGAUACUCUGCCAGUUAAUAACCAACUAUUGAUCAAAGAGUUUGGUUUUAAAGAUCAUAAAACAGGAGAGCAAAGUGGACAGCAGGGAGGGAGUUCCAGAGCUUAGAACCAAGACUGCAUUAACCCAUGUUAAUACUUGUGGCUGCACAACCUUUCUUACAAAUUAUAAACAGUCAUUAUAAUGCACAAAAACUGCAGAUGCUGGAAACCUGAAAUGAAAACAGAAAUUUUUUGAAAUAUUAAAUAGGCCAGGUAUAGCAUGUGUGGAGACAGAAACAAACACAGAGCUGUGAACUUUUCAUAAUGAAAGGUCAUUGGUCUGAAACAUUAACUCUGUUUCUCUUUUCAAAGAUGUUGCCUGACCAUCUGAAUAUUUCCAGUGAUUUCCCUUUAUAUCACUGGAUUUGUAAUGGUGACAGAAGAAUGUUUUUGUAAUUUAUAUCAAAAUAUAAACACUAAAUUCAACUGAGAUUAAAUUUAUAGUAUGAACACAGCUUCUGGCUAUUGAGAUCACAUUCAGAUGGUGUAUUUAUUCAGAGUAUCUGCUUCAAGGAGAUUUAUUAAAACAUCUUAGUAGUCAUUCAUAUCCCUUGCAGUGGAACAUCUCACCCAAUUGUAUUCAGCAAGAUAUUGCUUCUAAAGAGAUUUGACCUUGAAAGAUCCUAGUACUUUUGAUUGACGGUCCUUGGUUUCUCGUCCAGCUAGAAACAUUGGAAAUACUUUAGUUUUGAUGGAGAACUAGAUCUGGAGAACAGGCAAGUACCCUCUUCAUGCCAAGCAUUUACAAAGAGCCUUCUGAUUAGUCGAGGGCAUUCCUUCAAGUGUACAUUAGGGUUUUUUUCCUAUAUUAGAAAAAGAGAUAAGGAAAUGUAAUGAUUUAAAGUGAGAUUUAAUAUAAAUGUAAUAUUUUCUUAAUGCUUGUAAAAUAAACUAACUUACCAUUUGGCCGUUCUCACUGAAAUGCUAAUCAGUCUUUC
Molecule: long non-coding RNA, 1313 nt
Organism: Pristis pectinata (smalltooth sawfish)
Lineage: Eukaryota; Metazoa; Chordata; Chondrichthyes; Rhinopristiformes; Pristidae
Exons: 3
Source: RefSeq, a predicted model, not a curated record